RNAcentral lists this long non-coding RNA (235 nucleotides) under Bos taurus (domestic cattle). Its description in RNAcentral is "long non-coding RNA NONBTAT000781". The record is from RNAcentral. Lineage: Eukaryota; Metazoa; Chordata; Mammalia; Artiodactyla; Bovidae.
UUCAGUGCCACUUAUACAUCUCCAUCUAUUCAUCUAUGCAAGCUUGUGUUUCAGUGCUUCAUUUUUUACACCUCGCAUCCCAUGUGAUUCCUUUAACGUCAGGUUUAACAUUGAUAUUAUGAAUAAUUUUUAAACCAAAGUAUUGUAUAAGUCUGUGUGCUUGUAUUCCUGAAUGGUUGGAGGCAAACACCAACCUUGUCAUUUUCUCUUAAUAAAGUCAUUCAUUUGUUGCAUC